UACGAAGGGGGCUAGCGUUGCUCGGAAUCACUGGGCGUAAAGGUGCGUAGGCGGGUCUUUAAGUCAGGGGUGAAAUCCUGGAGCUCAACUCCAGAACUGCCUUUGAUACUGAAGAUCUUGAGUUCGGGAGAGGUGAGUGGAACUGCGAGUGUAGAGGUGAAAUUCGUAGAUAUUCGCAAGAACACCAGUGGCGAAGGCGGCUCACUGGCCCCGAUACUGACGCUGAGGCACGAAAGCGUGGGG
Molecule: ribosomal RNA, 243 nt
Filed under: uncultured bacterium
Lineage: Bacteria
Description: partial 16S ribosomal RNA
Rfam family: Bacterial small subunit ribosomal RNA
Source: RNAcentral